UACGUAGGUGGCAAGCGUUAUCCGGAUUUAUUGGGUGUAAAGGGAGCGUAGACGGCAGUGCAAGUCUGGAGUGAAAGGCGGGGGCUCAACCCCCGGACUGCUCUGGAAACUGUACGGCUGGAGUGCAGGAGAGGUAAGUGGAAUUCCUAGCGUAGCGGUGAAAUGCGUAGAUAUUAGGAGGAACACCAGUGGCGAAGGCGGCUUACUGGACUGUAACUGACGUUGAGGCUCGAAAGCGUGGGGAGCAAACAGG
RNAcentral lists this ribosomal RNA (253 nucleotides) under uncultured bacterium. RNAcentral describes it as "partial 16S ribosomal RNA". It matches the Rfam family "Bacterial small subunit ribosomal RNA", at positions 524 to 776 of the family's 1533-position model. The record is from RNAcentral.